AUUCUACUCCCUCUGUUGCGCAAUACAUGCCUUUGAUUUGUCAAAAAAUAUAUGUAUCUAGACAUGUUUUAGUAUAUAGGUACAUCCAUUUUUGGACAAAUGGAAGUCAAGUAUUUUGGAACGGAGGGAGUACACA
Molecule: non-coding RNA, 136 nt
Organism: Triticum urartu
Lineage: Eukaryota; Viridiplantae; Streptophyta; Magnoliopsida; Poales; Poaceae
Source: Rfam